Molecule: ribosomal RNA, 577 nt
Filed under: Nocardia sp. CAP 203
Lineage: Bacteria; Bacillati; Actinomycetota; Actinomycetes; Mycobacteriales; Nocardiaceae
Description: bacterial SSU rRNA
Rfam family: Bacterial small subunit ribosomal RNA
Source: RNAcentral
GUCUACUUCCGGAUCUGACCUUACUCGCAUUGGUGUUGGUGGAAAGAUUUAUUGGUGCGAGAUGGGCCCGCGGCCUAUCAGCUUGUUGGUGGGGUAAUGGCCUACCAAGGCGACGACGGGUAGCCGGCCUGAGAGGGCGAUCGGCCACACUGGGACUGAGACACGGCCCAGACUCCUACGGGAGGCAGCAGUGGGGAAUAUUGCACAAUGGGCGGAAGCCUGAUGCAGCGACGCCGCGUGAGGGAUGACGGCCUUCGGGUUGUAAACCUCUUUCGACUCCGACGAAGCGCAAGUGACGGUAGGAGUAGAAGAAGCACCGGCCAACUACGUGCCAGCAGCCGCGGUAAUACGUAGGGUGCGAGCGUUGUCCGGAAUUACUGGGCGUAAAGAGCUUGUAGGCGGUUUGUCGCGUCGUCUGUGAAAUCUCACAGCUCAACUGUGAGCUUGCAGGCGAUACGGGCAGACUUGAGUACUUCAGGGGAGACUGGAAUUCCUGGUGUAGCGGUGAAAUGCGCAGAUAUCAGGAGGAACACCGGUGGCGAAGGCGGGUCUCUGGGAAGUAACUGACGCUGAGAAG